This is a long non-coding RNA of Apus apus (common swift), 654 nucleotides long. RefSeq lists it as uncharacterized. The record is from RefSeq and is a predicted model, not a curated record. The transcript has 2 exons. NCBI's taxonomy places the organism in Eukaryota, Metazoa, Chordata, Aves, Apodiformes, Apodidae.
AGAGAUUCUUAGAACGGUGGUUAUAUUAACCAUAUGGAACAGUGACUGAUCACUGUUGUGACGACCUGUGCUGCCAGGAGAGAACACGUUGUUACUUGUCUCAAUGAAAUAAUAAACACAAAGACAAAUUCCAUUUGGAGAGUGCUCUUAUUCGUUCAUACGGGCAAGGAAUUAAAUGAAAACUGGUGUCAUAAAAGGUAUAUCUUGGAGCAGCCCUGGCAAGAAGAUGAGUCAAGUGUGAUUUGAGAAAGAAGGAUGAGUUGGAUUUUUGGGCACUAAAGGAGAGAAGUCCCAGUGCUUGUCUUUGUACCUGGUGGCACAGAUGCGAGGAUCAUGCAGAAGCCUCUGGAUACUGAAGCAUCACUGUUUGGGGCCCUUCCAGUGAUAGCAGCUGGUGUGGAGGGGAAACUUUGAGAGUCUUAGUGCCUGUUGAAUACCUUGUUCUCUUGAGUGUCUGUAAAUGACUGAGAUAGCUCUCAGUUGUUUGCUAUGUACAAAAUCUUAUUUAUGUUAAAGAAAUGGAAGCAUACCUUAAAAGAGGGAUGAGGAAUUUAUUGUUUUAAAUCUUAAGGGCCUAAUGAUUACUAGUCCAGAUCUAAUCGUUACAGAAAAAGAAAGAGCAGUAAUGCAAUUAAAAUCAUUACGCUUAUUGUC